CGUAGGGUGCGAGCGUUAAUCGGAAUUACUGGGCGUAAAGCGUGCGCAGGCGGUUUUGUAAGACAGGCGUGAAAUCCCCGGGCUCAACCUGGGAACUGCGUUUGUGACUGCAAGGCUAGAGUAUGGCAGAGGGGGGUGGAAUUCCACGUGUAGCAGUGAAAUGCGUAGAGAUGUGGAGGAACACCAAUGGCGAAGGCAGCCCCCUGGGUCGAUACUGACGCUCAUGCACGAAAGCGUGGGUAGCAAACAGGAUUAGAUACCCUGGUAGUCCACGCCCUAAACGAUGUCAACUAGGUGUUGGGAGGGUAAAACCUUUUAGUACCGGAGCUAACGCGUGAAGUUGACCGCCUGGGGAGUACGGCCGCAAGGUUA
RNAcentral lists this ribosomal RNA (372 nucleotides) under uncultured organism. Its description in RNAcentral is "bacterial SSU rRNA". It matches the Rfam family "Bacterial small subunit ribosomal RNA", at positions 526 to 896 of the family's 1533-position model. The record is from RNAcentral.